Molecule: ribosomal RNA, 1151 nt
Filed under: Sphingobacterium mizutaii
Lineage: Bacteria; Pseudomonadati; Bacteroidota; Sphingobacteriia; Sphingobacteriales; Sphingobacteriaceae
Description: bacterial SSU rRNA
Rfam family: Bacterial small subunit ribosomal RNA
Source: RNAcentral
AUCCCCCACACUGGUACUGAGACACGGACCAGACUCCUACGGGAGGCAGCAGUAAGGAAUAUUGGUCAAUGGGGGCAACCCUGAACCAGCCAUGCCGCGUGCAGGACGACUGCCCUAUGGGUUGUAAACUGCUUUUGUUAGGGAAUAAACCCCGCUACGUGUAGCGGGCUGAAUGUACCUAAAGAAUAAGGAUCGGCUAACUCCGUGCCAGCAGCCGCGGUAAUACGGAGGAUCCGAGCGUUAUCCGGAUUUAUUGGGUUUAAAGGGUGCGUAGGCGGCACUUUAAGUCAGGGGUGAAAGACGGCAGCUCAACUGUCGCAGUGCCCUUGAUACUGAAGUGCUUGAAUGCGGUUGAAGACGGCGGAAUGAGACAAGUAGCGGUGAAAUGCAUAGAUAUGUCUCAGAACACCGAUUGCGAAGGCAGCUGUCUAAGCCGUUAUUGACGCUGAUGCACGAAAGCGUGGGGAUCGAACAGGAUUAGAUACCCUGGUAGUCCACGCCCUAAACGAUGAUGACUCGAUGUUUGCGAUAUACCGUAAGCGUCCAAGCGAAAGCGUUAAGUCAUCCACCUGGGGAGUACGCCCGCAAGGGUGAAACUCAAAGGAAUUGACGGGGGCCCGCACAAGCGGAGGAGCAUGUGGUUUAAUUCGAUGAUACGCGAGGAACCUUACCCGGGCUUGAAAGUUACUGAAGGGCGCAGAGACGCGCCCGUCCUUCGGGACAGGAAACUAGGUGCUGCAUGGCUGUCGUCAGCUCGUGCCGUGAGGUGUUGGGUUAAGUCCCGCAACGAGCGCAACCCCUAUGUUUAGUUGCCAGCACGUCAAGGUGGGGACUCUAAACAGACUGCCUGCGCAAGCAGAGAGGAAGGCGGGGACGACGUCAAGUCAUCAUGGCCCUUACGUCCGGGGCUACACACGUGCUACAAUGGAUGGUACAGCGGGCAGCUACACAGCAAUGUGGUGCCAAUCUCGAAAAGCCAUUCACAGUUCGGAUCGGGGUCUGCAACUCGACCCCGUGAAGUUGGAUUCGCUAGUAAUCGCGUAUCAGCAAUGACGCGGUGAAUACGUUCCCGGGCCUUGUACACACCGCCCGUCAAGCCAUGAAAGCUGGGGGUACCUAAAGCAUGUAACCGCAAGGAGCGUUUAGGAAAC